CAGACUGAACAGACCACCUCACUCACCAUGGAUGGUGCCUCUAGAUUCCUCCCCAUGGCCUGGAGUCUGGCCUUCCUCCUGGUCUCCACCUGCCCCUCAGGUUCCUCCUCACAGUCGGUGCUGACUCAGAGCCCCUCUGCAUCCUUUUCCGCAGGGGACACAGUGCGCCUCUUCUGUGCCUUGUCUUCUGGCAACAUCGGCAGCUACAGGGUUGGCUGGUACCAGCAGAAAUCAGACAAGGUCAUUCGACUUCUAUACCACUAUUACACCAGCAGUAGCCAAGGCAGGGGGUCCGGGAUCCCCGAGAGAUUCAGCGUCUCUCCAGAUUCCUCCAAAAACCUCUGGAAUUUAGUGAUCACAGGAGCUCAAGCUGAAGAUGAGGCUACUUAUUACUGUGGCAUUUGGCAUAGCAGCAUGUAUCACAGUGGCUAA
Non-coding RNA from Pogona vitticeps (central bearded dragon), 432 nucleotides. NCBI's taxonomy places the organism in Eukaryota, Metazoa, Chordata, Lepidosauria, Squamata, Agamidae. The record is from the annotation of a RefSeq genome assembly.